Molecule: ribosomal RNA, 731 nt
Filed under: uncultured bacterium
Lineage: Bacteria
Description: bacterial SSU rRNA
Rfam family: Bacterial small subunit ribosomal RNA
Source: RNAcentral
AACAGGAUUAGAUACCCUGGUAGUCCACGCUGUAAACGAUGUCGACUUGGAGGUUGUGCCCUUGAGGCGUGGCUUCCGGAGCUAACGCGUUAAGUCGACCGCCUGGGGAGUACGGCCGCAAGGUUAAAACUCAAAUGAAUUGACGGGGGCCCGCACAAGCGGUGGAGCAUGUGGUUUAAUUCGAUGCAACGCGAAGAACCUUACCUACUCUUGACAUCCAGAGAAUUUGCUAGAGAUAGCUUAGUGCCUUCGGGAACUCUGAGACAGGUGCUGCAUGGCUGUCGUCAGCUCGUGUUGUGAAAUGUUGGGUUAAGUCCCGCAACGAGCGCAACCCUUAUCCUUUGUUGCCAGCACGUAAUGGUGGGAACUCAAAGGAGACUGCCGGUGAUAAACCGGAGGAAGGUGGGGAUAACGUCAAGUCAUCAUGGCCCUUACGAGUAGGGCUACACACGUGCUACAAUGGCAUAUACAAAGAGAAGCGAACUCGCGAGAGCAAGCGGACCUCAUAAAGUAUGUCGUAGUCCGGAUUGGAGUCUGCAACUCGACUCCAUGAAGUCGGAAUCGCUAGUAAUCGUAGAUCAGAAUGCUACGGUGAAUACGUUCCCGGGCCUUGUACACACCGCCCGUCACACCAUGGGAGUGGGUUGCAAAAGAAGUAGGUAGCUUAACCUUCGGGAGGGCGCUUACCACUUUGUGAUUCAUGACUGGGGUGAAGUCGUAACAAGGUAACC